UACGGAGGAUCCGAGCGUUAUCCGGAUUUAUUGGGUUUAAAGGGUGCGCAGGCGGGAGAUUAAGUCGGCGGUGAAAUUUUGCAGCUCAACUGUAAAAGUGCCUUCGAAACUGGUUUCCUUGAGUGUAGAUGAAGUAGGCGGAAUUUGUGGUGUAGCGGUGAAAUGCAUAGAUAUCACGAGGAACUCCGAUUGCGCAGGCAGCUUACUAAACUACUACUGACGCUCAGGCACGAAGGCGUGGGGAUCAAACAGGAUUAGAUACCCCUGUA
This 269-nucleotide ribosomal RNA is filed under the name uncultured prokaryote. RNAcentral's name for it is "partial 16S ribosomal RNA". It matches the Rfam family "Bacterial small subunit ribosomal RNA", at positions 524 to 792 of the family's 1533-position model. The record is from RNAcentral.